UCAUGAGCUGUUGGAUUCGGGGCCGUAACACUGUCUGAGAGGGUUACAUUUCUCACAGUGAACCGGUCUCUUUUUCAGCUGCUUUCUGGCUU
Molecule: microRNA precursor, 92 nt
Filed under: Salvator merianae (Argentine black and white tegu)
Lineage: Eukaryota; Metazoa; Chordata; Lepidosauria; Squamata; Teiidae
Also listed under: 1 other name
Description: miRNA (ENSSMRG00000014458.1)
Rfam family: mir-128 microRNA precursor family (bases 5-85)
Source: RNAcentral